AUACGGAGGAUGCGAGCGUUAUCCGGAUUUAUUGGGUUUAAAGGGAGCGUAGAUGGGAGCUUAAGCCAGUUGUGAAAAGCGCGGGCCCAACCCGCGUCGUGCAAUUGGAACUGUGUUCCUUGAGUGGGUUCGGGGCAGGUGGAAUUCGUGGUGUAGCGGUGAAAUGCUUAGAUAUCACGAAGAACUCCGACAGCGUAGGCAUCCUGCCAGGCCCUUACUGACAUUGAAGCUCGAAGGUGCGGGUAUCAAACAGGAUUAGAUACCCUGGUAGUCCGCACGGUAAACGAUGGAUGCCCGCUGUCGGCGACAGACGGUCGGCGGCCAAGCGAAAGCGUUAAGCAUCCCACCUGGGGAGUACGCCGGCAACGGUGAAACUCAAAUGAAUUGACGGGG
This 393-nucleotide ribosomal RNA is filed under the name uncultured bacterium. RNAcentral describes it as "partial 16S ribosomal RNA". It matches the Rfam family "Bacterial small subunit ribosomal RNA", at positions 523 to 918 of the family's 1533-position model. The record is from RNAcentral.